GAAUCAAAUUCGAACGCAGAGCCU
RNAcentral lists this non-coding RNA (24 nucleotides) under Arabidopsis thaliana (thale cress). The record is from RNAcentral. Lineage: Eukaryota; Viridiplantae; Streptophyta; Magnoliopsida; Brassicales; Brassicaceae.